CCCUUAGAUGUUCUGGGCUGCACGCGCGCUACACUGAUGCAUGCAACGAGUUUUCGACCUUGCCUGAAAAGGUUGGGUAAUCUGUUUAACAUGUGUCGUGAUGGGGAUAGACCAUUGCAAUUAUUGAUCUUCAACGAGGAAUUCCUAGUAAGCGCGAGUCAUCAGCUCGUGCUGAUUAUGUCCCUGCCCUUUGUACACACCGCCCGUCGCUCCUACCGAUUGAAUGGUCCGGUGAAAUCUUCGGAUUGCUGACCAAGAUCCAGCAAUGGAGCUUGGUUGCGAGAAGUUGAUUAAACCUUAUUAUUUAGAGGAAGGAGAAGUCGUAACA
Molecule: ribosomal RNA, 328 nt
Filed under: uncultured eukaryote
Lineage: Eukaryota
Description: partial 18S ribosomal RNA
Rfam family: Eukaryotic small subunit ribosomal RNA
Source: RNAcentral